This 1077-nucleotide long non-coding RNA is filed under the name Olea europaea subsp. europaea. Lineage: Eukaryota; Viridiplantae; Streptophyta; Magnoliopsida; Lamiales; Oleaceae. The record is from RNAcentral.
CACCGCUCCACCAGUUCUGGCUCUGAAACCACCACUUGGGCCUUCUCCUCCUCAGCCCAUCACUUCUCCCAUCACUCCUCCACCACUCCAUCCGACGACCCCCGCUGGGAUACCAUCCGCCGCUUCCAUUGCCUCGCCCUCUCCGAUCUUCACUUCCUCCACCGUCUCGGCUCCGGAGAUAUCGGAUUCGUGUACUUAGCCAAAAUCAAGUCACCCUCGCCGUCUCCAUCCUCGGAGGAGCAGCCUAAUUCCUCCUCCUCGGCGGCUCUCUUCGCGACUAAGGUUAUGGACAAGAAGGAACUCGCCAACUGUAAUAAAGAAGGUAGAGCAAGGACAGAAAAAGAAAUCCUUGAAAUGCUCGAACAUCCAUUUUUACCCACGCUUUACGCUUCCAUUGACUCUCCCAAGUGGUCGUGUCUAUUGACGGAGUUUUGCCCCGGCGGCGACCUUCACGUCCUCCACCAAGCUCAGCCGUGUAAACGCUUCCCGGAAUCCUUCAGGCACGCAUUUUACCACUAUCUCCUCUCCUCCACCACCGUUUUAGCCUCUUGUGGUAACGAUUUUUUUCAUAAUCAUAUCUGUAGAUUUUAUGAUGCCAUUAAUCAUAUGAUCUAAAUCAUUUUAUUAAAAAUUAUUAAUCAAAUAUUGAAAAGAUUCAAAAUUCAUCUUUUGGCUAAACUUUUAGCAUGCUUGAGCCCCAUUUUAAUCCAAGGCUAUGUUUUAGGAUGGUAGACUUCUAGUUAAAAAAUAUGAAAAAAAUUUUAAAUUUUGUGAGAAAUAUCAUUUUAUUGAAAAUUGUGAGAUUAAAAAGAAAAAUGAAAAAAAAGUACUUUAUUCGGAAAAGAAAUUGGAAUUUGGAUAUGACGUUGAAAUUGAAAGUGACGAGGGAGGUGAGGCAUAUUGAUUGGUCCACUACCUGACAUAGAGCUGAUAGUGGGGCCCAAGCGAUUAGCGUUGUGACUCGUGUACACUAGAACUGAAAUCUACUGUAAAUCGAGAUUCACUGUAGCAGGAGAACUGCUACAAUUACAGCAUUUUUGACAACUUUGUUUACGAUUUUUUCACAUACAAUGGNUG